UACAGAGGGUGCAAGCGUUAAUCGGAGUUACUGGGCGUAAAGGGCGCGUAGGCGGUAAGAUGUGUGUGAUGUGAAAGCCCCGGGCUUAACCUGGGAAGUGCAUCGCAAACUAUCUAACUGGAGUAUAUGAGAGGGUGGCGGAAUUUCCGGUGUAGCGGUGAAAUGCGUAGAGAUCGGAAGGAACGUCAAUGGCGAAGGCAGCCACCUGGCAUAAUACUGACGCUGAGGCGCGAAAGCGUGGGGAGCGAACAGGAUUAGAAACCCCAGUAGUCC
This 273-nucleotide ribosomal RNA is filed under the name uncultured bacterium. RNAcentral's name for it is "partial 16S ribosomal RNA". It matches the Rfam family "Bacterial small subunit ribosomal RNA", at positions 524 to 796 of the family's 1533-position model. The record is from RNAcentral.